GCAUGGCAUGCAUCGAUCACAUACUAACCUGUUGGAUGUUUCGUGGGUGGGUUUCCCCUCAUGAGCUGAUGGCUUGAUGGUGGUGGUUGAUCUUCCGAUGGGACGGUGCAUGAGUGGUGACUAGGACAUGCUUUUAUGCAGGCUUUGCGUAUCAUACGUCGAACUGUGUGAAGCUGUCCGUUUCAGAAGUCCAGUGCUUCGGCUUGUCUUUGCUCGUUGCAAAAUGAUUGUGCGGUUUCUGUGCUAGCUAUCGAUUUUGGUAUGCGGGAUUCAUUGAAUCCAUUAUGUGUUUCUUCUUUCCGCAAUUGGCUUGUUCGGUGAAGGUGGACGUUGCAUUGGUCCCCUGUGUUCCACGCAAGUUAUCCCUCAAUGGUAGUGGAUUUGUGAUGGCUCAUGGGUGGCUGUUUAUGCUCUUGGAUAUGCGAAAUGUUUGGUUGUCGUUUGGGUCCCUGACCUAUUCGUAUCAUUUCUUGAGCAUGUAGCCUUAUUUUGUAUGACCCUCGAGUGUGUUCCUGAGCUCAUUGAGUCUUAGAGCUCGUUGUUCGUCAUGGAGAUGCCGAGGUCUUCGAGGAAUGC
This 576-nucleotide unclassified non-coding RNA is filed under the name Lijndenia brenanii. RNAcentral's name for it is "partial external transcribed spacer". Lineage: Eukaryota; Viridiplantae; Streptophyta; Magnoliopsida; Myrtales; Melastomataceae. The record is from RNAcentral. RNAcentral also lists the same sequence under 1 other name.